GGAGGAUUCGCCUAGUGGCCUAGGGCGCACGCUUGGAAAGCGUGUUGGGGGCAACCCCUCGCGAGUUCGAAUCUCGCAUCCUCCGCCG
Molecule: transfer RNA, 88 nt
Filed under: Frankia casuarinae
Lineage: Bacteria; Bacillati; Actinomycetota; Actinomycetes; Frankiales; Frankiaceae
Also listed under: 8 other names
Description: tRNA-Ser-GGA-1-1
Rfam family: tRNA
About the family: Transfer RNA (tRNA) molecules are approximately 80 nucleotides in length. Their secondary structure includes four short double-helical elements and three loops (D, anti-codon, and T loops). Further hydrogen bonds mediate the characteristic L-shaped molecular structure. tRNAs have two regions of fundamental functional importance: the anti-codon, which is responsible for specific mRNA codon recognition, and the 3' end, to which the tRNAs corresponding amino acid is attached (by aminoacyl-tRNA synthetases). tRNAs cope with the degeneracy of the genetic code in two manners: having more than one tRNA (with a specific anti-codon) for a particular amino acid; and 'wobble' base-pairing, i.e. permitting non-standard base-pairing at the 3rd anti-codon position.
Source: RNAcentral